CAGUAGCCGCGGGAAUACGGAGGGUGCGAGCGUUAAUCGGAAUUACUGGGCGUAAAGAGUGCGUAGGUGGUUAAUUAAGUCAUCUGUGAAAUUCCUGGGCUUAACCUGGGCAGGUCAGAUAAUACUGGUUAACUCGAGUAUGGGAGAGGGUAGUGGAAUUUCUGGUGUAGCGGUGAAAUGCGUAGAGAUCGGAAGGAACACCAGUGGCGAAGGCGGCUACCUGGCCUAAUACUGACACUGAGGCACGAAAGCGUGGGGAGCAAACAGGAUUAGAUACCCCUGUAGUCCCUGUCUCUUAUAC
RNAcentral lists this ribosomal RNA (301 nucleotides) under uncultured bacterium. RNAcentral describes it as "partial 16S ribosomal RNA". It matches the Rfam family "Bacterial small subunit ribosomal RNA", at positions 509 to 807 of the family's 1533-position model. The record is from RNAcentral.